GAGGAGGCGGAGGCAGCGUGCGCAGUGAGCGCGGCGGCGCUGCGCAGCCGGGCCUUGGCCGCCUAGGCCCAGGUGGCGGUGGCGGAGGCGCCAAUGCCAGCGGCAGCAGCCCACCUGGCGACGGCGGGGCCGGGGCUGGCGGCUUUUGGCCGCAGCAGGUAUGUCGCGUGCUUGGCGCAGCGCUGACUUCGUCAUACACACACACACACACACACUCACACACACACACACACACACACACACACACACACACACACACACACACACACACACACACACACACACACGCACACACACACACACACACACACACACACACACACACACACACACACACACACACACAUACGCCCCAUGCAGCCGGGCGCUAUUUGCAGCCGCGCGGCCCCCGACUCGUUCCCUUUCACGGGCAUAGUUAGUGGGCGGGCUUUGGGAUGCGUGUUAGGACAUUAGAUACCUUGCUUGCUGCACGCCGCCCUCUUCCACCGCUGCCAUUUCACAUGCCCGUGACACUUCUGUGCUGCCGCCCAAUGCCUUUCCAUUCCCAUGCUUAUAGGUGAGCUGGGUUACGACCAGCGGGCGGGAAUCUGGGAAUUAGGCGUGAUGGGUAAACGUUGUUUAGCGCGCCCAGGGUGCGGAGCAUGGACGCAUACAGGUGCAUCGCGGGGUCAGGCCGAAUGGUCGCCCGUGGGGUUACAGGCUUAUUGCGGGUAAGUAUGACUACCUGGGUGACGGCAACCACGCGACGCUCGGUAAAUUGGUAGGUAUCGGUAAGUAACUCCGGCGUCGUCUGGGCGGGCUUUCGUUUCGUUUAUUAACACACACACACACACACACACACACACACAGGGAUUUGUCGUAUAUGCUUGUGGUUCUGUUGGUGUGAGCCUUUGUGCGGCCCGGGCUGGUGGUGGGUGUGGGUGUGCGGCCCUGGCUGUUGGGCGGGGCACGUGGCCGGUCCCGGUGCCGUGGGCGGCUUCGUUUAGGGCUCCCGCUGGUCUGUGGGGUCUCCUGUGGUCUGGGGGGGGGAGUCCGCGGUUUGUGAGGGUGUGCUCUCUGGUGGGCUUUUUUCCGGGCGCGUGGGCCUUGUCGUUGCGCCCUGGGCCGGGGUCUCGUUGGGCCGCCGUCGCGCGCACCGCUGUAACGCCGCGGUCUGCCACCCUGCCUACCCCGCACCCCAAGCCUGCCCCCACCACCGACGCAGCCACUGCGGCCGCGAGCAUGCCUAGCCUCGGUGCCGCCAUGGAGUGGGGAGCAGGAGGCCAGCUCCCGCCAGCCCAUGGCGUCACACACACACCAGCCUGUGUCUGACACGCCUGGAAACGCUGCAACCGCCGCCCGCCACGCCCCCCAUGCAGCCAUGACCCCGUACCUAGCUUGUCUGCUGCACGCUGCCUCUCUUGUCGCCUUUGCCAUUCGCCUGCCCGUGACACUUCCUCGCUGCCGCCCUAUGCCCAUGCUUCCGCUUUUGCCUUUUAGGUGAGCUCGACUACGACCAGCGGGCGGGAUGAUGACCACGCCAGAAUGGCUGCUGCUGCCGGCGGCGGCGGAGGAGGAGGCGGAGGCAACGUGCGCAGUGAGCGCGGCGGCGCUACGCAGCCGGGCCUUAGCCGCCUAGGCCCAGGUGGCGGUGGCGGAGGCGCUGAUGCCAGCGGCAGCAGCCCACCUGGCGACGGAGGGCCCGGGGCUGGCGGCUCUUGGCCGCAGCAGGUAUGUCGCGUGCUUGCGCGCAGCGCGGACUUCGUUUGUGGGACGGCUAUGCUAGUUUGGGACCAGCGCCACUGUCACGCCGACACACAUACACACACAUACACACACACACACACACACACACACACACACACACACACACACACACACACACACACACACACACACACACACACACACACACACACACACACACACACACACACACACACACGUGUGUUUGGCGGCUUUGUUCCGUUGUUUUGUGUUUGACACACACAAACACACACACAUACGCACGUACGCAGACACCGCUGUGGCCCACGCCGCUCCAGACCGCACACGCGCUUGUGGUUGCCGCGUGCCUGCACGCCCUAGUCGCCUACACCCCGCGCUCACCUGCGCCGGUGCAUGCCGUGCCCUUACCGCUCAAGGCUCACGCCGCACAGCCCCACUGCUUUCUCAAGCUGGCCUCCGCUCUAUCCCGCUGCUCCUUUGUGUGCUGCAGCACGCCCGCGCAAGCACCGCCACGGGGCAUGACCACGCCAGCAUGGCUGCUGCUGCCGGCGGCGGCGGAGGAGGAGGCGGAGGCAACGUGCGCAGUGAGCGCGGCGGCGCUGCGCAGCCGGGCCUUGGCCGCCUAGGCCCAGGUGGCGGUGGCGGAGGCGCCAAUGCCAGCGGCAGCAGCCCACCUGGCGACGGAGGGGCCGGGGCUGGCGGCUCUUGGCCGCAGCAGGUAUGUCGCGUGCUUGCGCGCAGCGCGGACUUCGUUUGUGGGAUGGCUAUGCUAGUUUGGGACCAGCGCCACUGUCACGCCGGCACACAUACACACACGCACCGCGGUACCCGCGCCACUCCACUCCAGACCGCACACGCGCUUGUGGUUGCCGCGUGCCUGCACGCCUUAGUCGCCUACACCCCGCGCUCUCCCGCGCUGGUGCAUGCCGUGCCCUUACCGCUCAAGGCUCACGCCGCACAGCCCCACUCCUUUCUCAAGCUGGCCUUCGCUCUAUCCCGCUGCUCCUUUGUGUGCUGCAGCACGCCCGCGCAAGCACCGCCACGGGGCAUGACCACGCCAGCAUGGCUGCUGCUGCCGGCGGCGGCGGAGGAGGAGGCGGAGGCAGCGUGCGCAGUGAGCGCGGCGGCGCUGCGCAGCCGGGCCUUGGCCGCCUAGGCCCAGGUGGCAGUGGCGGAGGCGCCAAUGCCAGCGGCAGCAGCCCACCUGGCGGUGGAGGGGCCGGGGCUGGCGGCUCUUGGCCGCAGCAGGUAUGUCGCGUGCUUGCGCGCAGCGCGGACUUUGUUUGUGGGAUGGCUAUGCUAGUUUGGGACCAGCGCCACACGCACCGCGGUACCCGCGCCAUUCCAG
This 3055-nucleotide long non-coding RNA is filed under the name Chlamydomonas reinhardtii. RNAcentral's name for it is "long non-coding RNA (CREI_LNC001412)". The record is from RNAcentral. Lineage: Eukaryota; Viridiplantae; Chlorophyta; Chlorophyceae; Chlamydomonadales; Chlamydomonadaceae.